ACGCUCGACACCUACGGGAGGCAGCAGUGGGGAAUAUUGCACAAUGGGGGAAACCCUGAUGCAGCGACGCCGCGUGAGCGAAGAAGUAUUUCGGUAUGUAAAGCUCUAUCAGCAGGGAAGAUAAUGACGGUACCUGACUAAGAAGCUCCGGCUAAAUACGUGCUAGCAGCCGCGGUAAUCUGAGCGGGCUGGCAAGGC
This 198-nucleotide ribosomal RNA is filed under the name uncultured bacterium. Its description in RNAcentral is "partial 16S ribosomal RNA". It matches the Rfam family "Bacterial small subunit ribosomal RNA", at positions 328 to 539 of the family's 1533-position model. The record is from RNAcentral.